GUCUCCAUAGCCCGAUUGGUCAGUGUGUCUGACUGUUAACCAGAAGGUUGGUGGUUCGAGCCCACCCACGGACA
Molecule: non-coding RNA, 74 nt
Organism: Podarcis lilfordi (Lilford's wall lizard)
Lineage: Eukaryota; Metazoa; Chordata; Lepidosauria; Squamata; Lacertidae
Source: the annotation of a GenBank genome assembly